GUCCUUGUAGUAUAAGCCAAUACCUCGGUCUUGUAAACCGGAUAAUGGAGAAUCUCACUCCCCAGGACA
This 69-nucleotide transfer RNA is filed under the name Plecturocebus cinerascens (ashy titi). Its description in RNAcentral is "tRNA-Thr". Lineage: Eukaryota; Metazoa; Chordata; Mammalia; Primates; Pitheciidae. The record is from RNAcentral.